CCCUUAGGUGUUCUGGGCCGCACGCGUGCUACACUGAUGCAUUCAACGAGUCUAAAACCUGGUCUGAUAGGGCUGGGUAAUCUUUUGAAAGUGCAUCGUGAUUGGGAUAGAUGAUUGCAAUUCUUCAUCUUCAACGAGGAAUGCCUAGUAAACGCAAGUCAUCAGCUUGCAUUGAUUACGUCCCUGCCCUUUGUACACACCGCCCGUCGCUCCUACCGAUUGAAUGAUCCGAUGAAUACCAUGGAUUGAGAGUACGAAUAGGUUCGCUUAUUUCUGCUGCUCGAGAAGUGGAGUAAAUCUUAUCAUUUAGAGGAAGGAGAAGUCGUAACA
This 330-nucleotide ribosomal RNA is filed under the name uncultured eukaryote. Its description in RNAcentral is "partial 18S ribosomal RNA". It matches the Rfam family "Eukaryotic small subunit ribosomal RNA", at positions 1470 to 1796 of the family's 1831-position model. The record is from RNAcentral.